GACUAAAAGUGACGAAACAACAAGGUUCUACGAGGAAUAUCAAGUAAUAGUAAGAAAAAUAUACCGAAACGUUGACGAACAAUCUCGUCAUGAACUCAGGCGUUUCCGAUGGAACUCCAAUCUCCGGCGAUGUCCUUCGUUAUUCCGGUAAGCUUUUCUGCUCCGACGAAACUCCAACAAUUACAGGGAAAAAGGUGUUUCGAGAGUAGGAAUGUGAACGGGUUGUGAUGGUAGUGUAACUUUGGUCACGGCAACCGGUCAUCUUCUCCGAUUCUCCGGCGAAACUCCGGUGUAUUGUGGUUAGCACAAGAGAGUGGUUUAUUUGAUGGUGACGUAUUUGGGUGUUGAGAGCGUGUAAUCAGACUUAAUCCCGACAAAUCGGCAUGGCAAAUAAAAGGAAGCUUAGAUGUCGGCGGCAAUUGUGAGACGGUUAGGAGGCAUAUUCAACAUCACUCCUGCCUUUUGAAAUCCUAUCAAAUAAGCCUAAGGCGAGUGCUCUUCAUCUUGUAAGUUGUAAGUUUCGCCUUUUCUUUUAAGAAGCAAAUUCAUUUACCAACUGUCCAAGUUAUAAUUCGAAGUCUAUUGAUAUGUUUUCAUCUUUCAACUGAUAAUGCAUUGUUGUGUUUGUGUGGGUGAAUUUAUGCUUGAUCCCUACUACCCUUUCAGGCGAAGGUAUGAUAUAUUGUUUCUUGGCAAAUCUGUUUUGUGUUAGUUUUUUCAUUUGUAUUUAGAUUUUUACUUUUGUCUUACAUUCUGUUUUUUGUUCUAUUAACUUUGUAGAUAUUGUUGUGUAAUUACGGGUUCUUCGUAUCUGUUAUCUCCGUUGAGGUCUUAUUUGUGUACCUGUUGGCAACUCCAUCCAAGUCCAGUACCGCAAAGGGAAGUAAGAAAUUUUUUUUUUGAGUUUUUAAACUCGGCAGAGGGAAGCAAGAAGAAAAAUUGUGUUUUUAAACGAGGGUUUAACCAAUAUUUUUUUCUCUUUGUUUUUAAAUUUAUUGAUUUGAACCUUGCUUUGCAGGUUGGAGUUCUUCGUGAGCUGAUUCACUCGAGACAGUCUCUCCAAAAUAACAGACGAAUAAGAUCAAAUAUCCAGCACGUCAUAAACGCAAAAGAGGCUCGAUGAUAAUGGCAGGCUGGGGUGGCAGUAUCUUGAUGUCGUAUAUAUUACAUUUGAUGCGUCAAUUUCUCAUAUUAAUUUGAUUUAUGCAUUGUUGAAUUAUUGGUACCUUGCAGGAAAACUUAUGGAUUUGGAGCCGAUUCGCGAUCUGAAGUCCCAACACGGGAGGCAAAGGUUUGCUGACUAAGAAAGUAAUUGACUGAAGCGUCUUUAACCCAAUAAAUUCAAGAGUCCAUGCACAAAUAAUGGUUUAAAGAUCAUUAAUAAGGUCAUAUUCAUUUUGAGGCAUAUUAGAUACGAUAUCUCACCUUCCACAGGUUCUUUUUUCUAUUUUUUUUCUCAUUUGCACAUCAAUUAGUGUGUACCGUGAUUAAUAAGUUAUGUUUUUUUACUUUCU
This 1514-nucleotide long non-coding RNA is filed under the name Helianthus annuus (common sunflower). Its description in RNAcentral is "hypothetical non coding rna". The record is from RNAcentral. Lineage: Eukaryota; Viridiplantae; Streptophyta; Magnoliopsida; Asterales; Asteraceae.